This 253-nucleotide ribosomal RNA is filed under the name uncultured bacterium. Its description in RNAcentral is "partial 16S ribosomal RNA". It matches the Rfam family "Bacterial small subunit ribosomal RNA", at positions 524 to 776 of the family's 1533-position model. The record is from RNAcentral.
UACGUAGGGUGCAAGCGUUAAUCGGAAUUACUGGGCGUAAAGCGUGCGCAGGCGGUUUGGUAAGACAGAUGUGAAAUCCCCGGGCUCAACCUGGGAACUGCAUUUGUGACUGCAUCGCUGGAGUGCGGCAGAGGGGGAUGGAAUUCCGCGUGUAGCAGUGAAAUGCGUAGAUAUGCGGAGGAACACCGAUGGCGAAGGCAAUCCCCUGGGCCUGCACUGACGCUCAUGCACGAAAGCGUGGGGAGCAAACAGG